UAUUUGGACUGAGAACAUCACAGGACUGGGACCAGGAACAUCAAAAUGUAUGCAUGUACUUAAAGUUGUUCCAGCAAAGGAAACCCACUUUCAUUGAAGUGCUGGAGCAUGAUACUGGCAUAGCAAGAAACAGCAGCUGAGGCAGAGCAUGUCUGUGAAGCCAAGGAAUGUCCUUGACAGAGGAAGCAGUGCUUACCAGGCAUAAGUACCUCUGCUGAGGGCACAGCAAAGACCAGAGGAGCCUGUCAAUACAGCUAGAAAGAUAAUGAUGUGCCCUGUGGUGCUACAGAAAGGGUUAACCACUCUGUGUAAGAGAUCAAUGCCAAGUCGAAAGUGCGGUCAUUUCAGGCUGUGGAACAUGCUGGAUUUCAUCUUAUGGAGUAUCUUUCUUCUGGUAGAUAUUUUCAUCUGUUUCAUUUCAUUCUUCAAGUGGCUUAUGACACUGGUAUUAGUGGAGGCUAAAACCGGCAUCUGCCUAUCUCCAUGCAUCAGCCCAGGAGAGCAAUCCCUGUCCUUUCUGAAACUUGGGACGACCAGCAAGCAGUUGUGUGCCUGACCCUGGGCUCAUCAGCACGUGUGCUAGCAACAAGAUGAGAACAGCCUUGAUGCUCUUGACCAUGAUCUUCCAUAAUGGCUUAGUGAAAGUAUUCAAACUUUUAAGUUUGAAAAUUGCAUCAAUGUAAAGCAUUGGGCUAUGCCUAGAAGAAAACAAAAGAAACAGAGAAAGGAUGCUGGUGAGCUGCUUGGUCUGACAGCAGUGGAAAGGUGCCACAUUUUCGCUCAUCUGCCCCUGUGAGUGCUCAGUGGCAGAGGAGUCCUCUUUUUGACUUCAGUGGGAGCUGAAUUUGGCUGGAAGACAGAUCAAAGGCUGACACCCCGGGCAAGGUAACAGUGGUGAACGGUCUCACGCUUAAGUGAACAGCCAGAUCUCCCAUCUCUGUAUCCAGUAGGUCAUGGCAAGAAUAGGCUUUAAAUGGCACACAGAAAUACUUGUUAAUCCUGACAAGAGAAGCGCCAAUAUGGCCAUGGCCAUUAAGGUGGGAUUAAUGGGGUCGCUACGGUAGGAAACAUAUGAGGCCGUGUCUGAGUUUCUUGACACAUGAUGCCAACAAAACUUGUUUGGUCUUAUUUUUCUCUUACUAAACAGGACCGGCUAUGUUUAAAAGGGAGCAUUCAAACAUAUCUGGAAACAUUUUUUUAAGAAUGGGGGAUAUAAGUGAUUUUGUGGGCCUAGUGGAGACCACAGUCACAUAGAGAUAACUUUGAUUUUAUAUUGUGAUCAAGCUGAAACAACUUGGAGCUUUUGACCGUUCAGAGAAGUAACUUAGGAGAGAAGAGUGGAUAAGAGAAGUAAGGAUUGGAAACUGGUGAUUUUUAGAGCAACAAUGUAAAAUGUCAAAAACCUUUUAAGUGAGUCCUUAGCAUUUGGCCCUAAUUACUGAAUCUUUUCAAUGGGAUGGAGGAACUUUUGCUACAUGCCUUUCAUACAGCUACUCUGUAUGCUAUUCUGUAUUCUGCUUGCUGAUCAGAUAAAAAGCAGAUGGAAAACAAAAUGAACUUUAAGGAAGCAACAGCUAAAGCAGCAUGUUCUUUGUAUACAAAUUUGUUUAAUGAGGUUAUAUCUAUUAUGAGUUUAAUUGCAGCAAAUCUGAUCCUCGGCCAUUCCAAAAAAAUUAGUCACUACUAAUAAAAGAACAUAUGCAGUUUACAGUCUUAUUGAGCUUUUCUCCAGAGACACUUUUACAGAUUCUUUGUCAUCUGUUUAAUUAAAAGUUUACCAACCUAUUCUGAAAGCUGAUUCCAAAUUUCAUGUAGAUAUGUUGCUUUAAAACCACAAAACACAUUUUUGUAAAUUGAGCAUUUCAACCUCUCCUAAUAAGAAUACAGGAAUUUAACAUGUGUUCCAUGAGAUUUGCGAUGGAAAAUCAUAAUGAGUCAUGCUACAUCUUAAAAUCUAAUUUAUCUUAUUAUUUUUAUAUAAAUAGGGAGCAAUAAUCCUGGAGCUGUAUCAGAAAUAAAAUCAACAGCUAUUUCGCAAAUAAUUAGGUCCUUACCCAAAUGGAUUACAGUACUGAUUCAGAUAACUGAAUUGGGUAUAGGUGGCCCCAUGCGUGAUGUAUAUUAUGUGCAUAUGUCGGCAUAUGUCAUAAUCCAAUAUUUUUGUUGCAAAGAAGACAGCGAAGUCACAUUGAGAGUGGAAACUGUGAAAGCUAUUCCUGUAGGCUUAAAAAGAUGCUUUCCUCCCUCCCUCUCUCUAUUCGUCUCUCUCUUCUUCUCUCUCAUUUUCAAUGUGACUCAAACCCCAGAUCCUAGAAGUGUACUACGUAUUUUUUCACUUGGCUGCCUAUCAGUUGUGAUUUUUAUCUUAACUCUUUGCACAUUAACUUUUUCAGAAAUAACAAGUCAUGCAGGAUGAGAUAUUAAUCAUGAGUUUGGUUCCUACAUAAUGACAAGGAACUGCAGAAGCUCAUAUCCAGGGCCACAUCACAUCCCCAGCUCAGGGGAUUGGUAUGCCCUGACCUCAGAAAGAAGUUAAAUGCUUUCAAAGCUCUGAAAGUCACAGCUUCCGCAAUAGCUUUUUGACCUACACAAAACAAGCUGGUGGUUUUCAGGGUCACGUGGAUGGAUUUUGUGUACCCAUGAAGUUUGAAUCUCUCUCUUUGUGCCACGCGCAGAGGCAACAGCACAGAGGCCACUGCACCCAUUGCCAGCUCCUGUUGUUAGACAUGACUCAUUUUUCUAGCAAGGUGGAGCCAAAGAGAGUAAACCUUAAGGGAGGGAGAUCUCAUGUUGUAGGAGCUAGGAAGAAAGGAAUAUAUCACCAUUGGAAAGUGGAAGUUCAGAACAAAGCUAUAUGGAAACUUGUGCAAAUGCUGCAGCUCCAUUUUUAAGUAAGAGAGCUUCAGAAGAACAUCAUACUAUGGUUUCAUACAUUUUACAGGCUUCUAAAAAUAGUUAUAUUCCUGAUAUUUUGAACAGUUUAUAAAAAUACUUCCUUAGAUCCUCUUUACCCAUUUUAGAUCUCUACCUUGACAGGGAAUGUUGCAAAUGAAGGAUUCCAGGAUGAGAUGAUUGCGGGUGAGAGAGACAGCCUUACAUAGAGUUUAUGUGUCUGCAGAUACAAAACACAUCUUUAUCUCUCUCUCGAUUCUCUGUAGUCAUGGCAAGAAAAAAUCAGAUACAGAAAAGGAAAAUCGGAAGAAAGGGAAAUAAAAGGGAGAAAACAGACAAAAUAUGGUUGAUAGAAGGAAUUGGAAAAUAUUAGAAGCUUUUGUGUAUUCUAUUAUUUGUUCAUUUUUGUGGCUUAAAGAUACAAUAGUGAAAAGCGUCAUAGACUAGGUUCAGUAGAAAAAGAGAGAUGAAAAGACUUCACAAAGGUGAGCAGCUGUAUGGAAGGUGACCACAGCCUUAGCUACUGAGCAUAAGAUCCUUUCAUAAAAAUGUAUAACACUGGAAAAUUAGCCAGCAGAAAAGCAAACAAUUUCCUAAUCACCAAUUUCCCUACCACUCCCUAAUAUGUCAGAUAAAUAAGUUCUUACAUAUCCUGUCUCAUAACAUGAAUAAUUUAUCUUUUAAAUUCCCAAAACAUUGGUUCUAAAAAUUGCUCAUUUUAUUAAAAAAAAAAAGCACAAUCCAGCAACGGCACACUUCUCGAGUACUAAGAGUACUUUAGAAUAAUCUUGUCGUUUCAGAAUGCUUUCUUUAGGAAUGAACAUGGUAUAUUGACACAGGUAAUCCAUCUAAUGAAGUAGUAGAGGAAUACUACUUAGAUUUCUGUAUAGUGAAUUCCAGUCUUUCCCUCUGUGCAAUUUUAUUGCUGCAUUUUUAUGAUACAGACAAAGCUAUACAGCCAGGACAGUCAUUCAGAAAAUACAAUAUUGAUUAUAUUGAUACUGUCUACUUAAUCUCCAGAACUUUGCAUAAUAGCAUAGUCUUCCCAAUGUAUUUCUUUUUAAGAACAGACAAAAUUUUUUAGACAGUUCCUUGUAAUUUUUAACAUUUGUGUUUAUUUGAAUCAGUACAGAAAGGUAACCAGCAAUGCAAAAAAAAGUAUCAUUUAUAUCUUCCUGUAUUUAAAUAUAUUAUCCAUACUGAAAUUAGACAUUUAUUAAGAGCAAGAUAUUUAUUUCAUACUCAGGGUUUUUGAAGUCUGCAAAAUCAGCAGUAUGGAAAUUAGUAAUUUUUGCUCAUCUUACAUUGUUUAAUAGGUUAAACUGAGCAUAAACUCAAUGGCAGCAUUGUGAUUCACAUCUAAACUGGGCUUUGUUUCUGUUAUGGUAUACUCUUCUACUCCUUAAGGGCUUCUCUGGUUCCCACUGAAGUCAAAGAGAGUAUUUCCCUUGACACAGGAUUACCUUAUGAGAUUCUAUACAUGUAUUAUUUGUAAUAGCUGUUAUAGCUGCACGUGCCACAGCCGAUGUAGCUUGGAUAUGCUAUAUAGUGUAUUUUUAGGGACUUUAAAAUCUCUAGAGGCAAAGUCUU
This is a long non-coding RNA of Struthio camelus australis, 4482 nucleotides long. RefSeq lists it as uncharacterized. The record is from RefSeq and is a predicted model, not a curated record. Lineage: Eukaryota; Metazoa; Chordata; Aves; Struthioniformes; Struthionidae.